This 1786-nucleotide long non-coding RNA is filed under the name Ceratitis capitata (Mediterranean fruit fly). Its description in RNAcentral is "uncharacterized LOC110118146". Lineage: Eukaryota; Metazoa; Arthropoda; Insecta; Diptera; Tephritidae. The record is from RNAcentral.
AGAAGUAUUCAAUAAAAAAAUUACUUUUGUAUAUGUAGAUUGAUUUCAAAGUAAAUAUAAAUAGAAUGAUCAAUUAACAUAAGUCUUAAAAUUGAUACAAAAUAACCGGAAACAACCGAUUUUCGGUGUAAUCGCAAGCCUUUUUCGACUAAUAUCCCAAUCAAAUGUGUUACAUCGCCAAAAUUAAAAUUCAAUGAUGAAAACCAUCAGCCGUUCGUAGAUGGAUUAGUUUUAACUGUAGGGCCCUCCAUUUGUGGUUAAAACAUCAAGACGCAAAUCCGCAAAGUGGAGGAGGAGCUCGGGUGAAAAUCACUUCAGCGGCUACAAAGCGUCAGUUAAAUAUUACAAAAUACGAAGGUCGGCUGAAUUUCUCUCGUCCUAAGGUCAAUUAAUAUUUCGUUCUUGGAACAAGAAACACAACUAACACGGAAAGUUGGAAUUAUCACAAGUUGGAGCACCGCGCUGUGUUUAAAUUCCUUGUAAAAAAGAAAAUAUAUCCGGAAAAAUUUUUUUAGAGGAUGAACAAGCUGCAGAGAUUUUCAUGAGCAUUUCAGUAUGAAAAAUUUAGUGCGCGCAUUUACGCAGAACGACAAGCAGCGCUGAAUGGAGAGUAGUGAAGACUUUUUGGAGUUUGAUAAUUUGAAUGAAAUUUGCAUCCGCAUUGUAACAGUUACUGAAACUUGAAUUCGCCAAUAUGAUCCCCAGUCCAAACAGGAGUCUAUGAAAUGAAUAAAAAAUUGGGGAAAAGGUCACCAAAAAAAAUUCAAAGUGGAAAUGUCGGUGUCGAAGAUUAUGGCUACCAUUUUCUGGGGCCACGGCCAGUAUUACGGUAAUUUGUAGAGUCAGGCGUGUGAGGCAGUCAUAGAGAAAAGACGUGGCAAAUUAUCGCGCGUAGUGCUAUUUUUUUUUUUUUAAACAAAGCAUCUUUUCACAUCGCUCGGACUACGAGAAUUUAUAGAAGUAUAACAUCCACCCAGCUGUGCGGACUUGGCUCCCAUUGAUUUUUUCCUUUUUUCAAAUUUAUAAAAGGAGUUACGAGGACGAAGAUUUUCAGACGACAAUGAGAUGAAAGUGGCCGUAGUAAAGCAUUUUGAAGAGAGAUCUAAGGAAUAUUUUUUUUCAGUGGUAUGAAGGCAUUGUAUUCACGAUGUGAAAUGUGUAUUCCACCUGAGAGACUAUAUUGAGAAAUGAAAAAACUUAAAACUAUUAACAUUAACAUUAAGUACUUUAAGCCGCAAACUUAUCAGCCGCUUCUCGUAUAUCGGCAUAAAAUCAUAUAAAAAAUUAAUUAUGAGAUAUUAUUUUAUAAAAUACAUGAAUAUUAAAUUAUGAAAGACUCGCGGGAAAUGGCGGCAUGCGGCCUUUUAAGAAAAAAUGGGUUUGUGAAAUAUAUUUUUACCUUCGCGCAGAGUUCUUUUCUCUAUAAAAAACAACAAUAGAAGAAUCGAUACCACUAAAAAAAUAAUUUAUUCCAGUGUUUCUUGCAUAUUAUGCUCACAUAUCCAAUAAAGUCUGCGUUUACCUGACACAUUUUUUAAGUGAAGUAACAGCACAAUGAGAAUUAGGUAAUUUAGUUAAAAAUGUUUAUAUGUCUUUCAUCUUUAUUAUUUUAAGAACAAAAUUCAUAAACAAAAAUCUAAAUUCCGAUUUUCAUUUUCGUGGUAAAGGUAUCUAAACGUAACAACAUGUAAACAUAGCCAUCACCAUGAUACAAAAAAUUUAAAGUUAGCUCCAUUUCAAAAAUUUUGACACAGAAAUAUGGUGUUGCCACACUUUUCAGCAUUUU